UUUAGAUACUCCAAAAAAGGGAAGGCAAUCAAUGGAAGUCUUGGACUGCGAUGAGGUGACAACUUGUCCAGGGUGUACUCCGCCUUCCGCCCGAUUGUAGCUGAGAUAGGCGCCAGCGCUUCCCGCGACCCCAAAAGGGAAUAAGCGGUAGAAAUUGGAUGGAUGGAGGUUGAAUAGGAAGGGUUGGACUUCCACAUUUUUGAGUAAGGCGUUUGUGUACAGGUAUUAAGCAAUAAUGUAACUUGUAUAAGAUGUUGGCAAGGGGAUACAAAGGAGGGAAAAACAACUAAAAUGUCCUUUAUCCAGGUUAACUUUGUCAUUAUCACAGAAGUGGACUUACCGUUGGUUUAUGGGAGAUUUGAAGAAGUCCACCGAGAAGCCAAAGUAGCUUCCUGGGGGGCCGCUGAAGACCGAGGGUCCCUCGGCGUCCAAGUUGAAGGAGGCGCCGCGGUGGAGGAACAAGCACACCAAGAGCAGGAACGCAUGACACGGCCGGCCUAACGCCAUGACCACCACGGCUGCUCCGGCUACCGCCCGAGGACUCGCGAAAGUAGGAGGCGGGCAGGGGACGAUGCCAACUGGCUAGCCGCCGAGCUAGCUUGCAAACACAGCGACGCUACUUUUACGGCCGCCUCAGCACAAAAGUUGUGUCCCGGAGAGCUGCGAAAACACAGAAGCCGCCUUCUGAGAGGCGUAGCUCGGACAAGAAAAAGGGCCGCUUCACCAGUUGGCGAAAAGGAAGACGCCGGGGCAGAAGCCGUCAAUGUCGGCGUUGAUGGAGUAGUGUCACCGUAGGACGGCUUGCCACAGCCCCGAGUCACAACAAGCUAAUUUGUGCUCCGUCGUAACCCACACAAUAUCCGAUUAUUUUUCACCAAAAUAAAAGACUCAUGGGUAUUAACCUCUUCUGGAUACUUUAUUAUGGUAACAAUUGUAAUUUAUUUCCGUCCAGUUGGGGCUUGCCUCUGAAGACAUUACAACUUUAGCCUCAUGGUAUUUUCAGAAUCAGAAUCGGCUUUAUUGUCAUUACGCAGGGUAACAAGAUUGAGGCCAUUCCAUACAGUGCAAUGUGUGUAUAUUUCAAUUGUAUUCUCGUUAUAGUAAACAUUUAUUAUUCUAACAUUAAGACAUUAUUCACUAAGUUUACUAUGUAUUCUCCCAACCAUACAAAUCUACUAUUGUAGCUAUUUUCUAGAAAUUUCCCAUGUACCAUAAUGCACUACAGGUUUGUGCAUGACUUGUUUUACUGUUUUUUGUUUUGCAGCUAAGCAUGCAAUAUGGAUGGACUGUCUUUAGUUGGGGCUCCACGGUGGGAGAGGGGUUAGUGCGUGUGCCUCACAAAAAUUUCCCAUGUACCAUAAUGCACUACAGUUGUCUCCGUUGUCUCAGAAGUGAGCCGUGCGCCUCACACUCUGGAUCUCCCCCAGGACCUUGACUGCCUUCCUCAAUCCUCGACUAUCCCCGUUUUCGGACACGGACCUUUGGAGGUCUCUCUCCAGCCCCACGGACAUCGCUUGGAUCACAGACCUUUUUUGCUUAGCCCCUUUGGACUUGUUUGCCUCCACAACCAACACGCACUUACAGCAACCUCCGGUAAAUACUGUCUAGUUAAAUUCUACACAUAAUCUCGCCUGUGCACUUAUAGUAGCAUACACACUCCACGUAUUCAUCAAGAGCUCAAUAAAACCCAUUGAGCUAGACCUCCUGUUGUUGUGCCAUCUCCUUCCCCCUAGUCUACUUAAAUACUUUAGUACUUUUACUUAAGGAAUAUUUUUGACUACUCUAUUUUUAUUGUUAUUGAGUUAAUAUUUGCAAGAAAUAUUUGCACUUUUUCUAAAGUAAUUUACAUUGUCCCACAGCUAUACACAAAACAGGUCUUUUACCAUAGCUUUGUAUUUUAUUUCUGUUUUUGGAUGCAGGAAUGAAUUGUGGCAACACCAUGUCGCCAAGACAACAGGAAGUGAAGUUUGCUACAGGAAAUACAUUGUGGUUGUGUAUAUAAGGUUGGCCAGCAGCACAGAAUGCAUUUUUCAAGCUGACACACAACAUUGUGUGUCUUGUGUGAUGAUAUGUGAUGAUUAAUUAGCAGUGUACUUCUACUAUAGAUAUAGCCCUUUGCUGAUAGGUAAUUUCCCUCCACCAUGAUACAAUAUGUUUACUAUUGGACAGUCAGACACAAGGUUCACUAUUGGCUUCAUAAAAAAAUAAUUCAGCUUCUAAAAGAAAUUCCCAUUAGGCCAUGGUCUGGAAUCAUUCUGAAGGUUCACAAAAUUUUAGUCGCUACGGAAACAGCCUGAGAAGACAAGCAAAACAAGGAUUGGGUGAUCAGACCGGAUUAGUCUCAGCAGCAGAGGCGUGGGUUACCUAAUUGGACCAGGACAUGCUGAUGAGGGCGGGGCUUUCAUCAACAUAUUCAGACCUGGCAGCCCUGCGUCUUCUCUUUGCAGCACCACCACAACUCUGAGACAAAGUGUUGGGAUAGGUCAGGAUGUUUGGCUAACAUUUGGGAAAUGGAGGGUGUUUAUGCCUAUAAAAAUACGGUAGGAUUGAAUGAACAGAGGUGUGUCUUGAUUGGGGUAAGGUGAUGUGAGUAUGGUGUUAUCAAGACUGAAAGAUGGUGUCUUACUUUUAAUUCUCGGCUAAGAAAUGUUGUUCUACUUUGUCAUUAGUGGUUAGGUUUAAGACAGGCAUUGGGCUUUAAAUCAAGAUGUCAAGCAAAGUACCGGCUGGCAGUCUCCACUCUGGUUGGGGCACAGUUCAACUUUGCAGUGCAAGUAGACCUCAUAGUUUCCUCCAGUGAAGUAGAACAUGUUGAAGGAGAAGCUGUUGGACACUGCAACGCCAUUGUACAUCACGUUCACUGAGGGCUCCACAGGGCUCGGACAACUUCCCGGAAACAGGAACAUACAGAUCUGAUUUUCUGGCCUGCCUCAUUAACUAAGAGCUAGAUCAGGUCGUAUCUCAGACCCUCAUUGGGCAAUGAGCUGUUGGUGGCCCAACAGGAGUUGGUCACCAAGUAGACCAGGUUGUCAUCCAGACCUUCUGUCAUCAGCUCCACCCAGACCCUCUGGUUCAACUGAAUUUCUGUAUCUAACGUCACAGGUUGUGUGUGUCGGUCGUCCUCGUAGACUGUCAUCUUCAGAGUGUAAUUCCAGGAUUCAGAUACCACCUGCUGGAAAACAGAGCUGCACACACACACACACACACACACACACACGCACUCCAAUCUUUAUGUUGUCGUUUUCAAAAGCAAUUGAUGAAAGUCAGAUGUCUCAAACUUACUUGUCUUUGAUUCUAAAGCGCACACUCUGGACGUCUGGCUGGUUAUGGUAGCAGGAAAAGUUAACAUGGAAUUCGUCAAAGUUAGCAACAAUUUCAGAGGUGUUCAAUCCAGUGACACUGUUCUUGUACACAACCACGCUGUCAUUGGCCUGCAUGGACAUUCAAGAGUUCAACACGUGGAUCACAAACAGUAGGAGUGUCAGGACAAGAGAGACCCCCACCGUGACCACCGUCCCACAGGCGUUGCUGUUACUAAAGUUGAAGGUCACCAUAUGGUCCAUGUCUCUGUAACCUCCACAAGAAUCAUCAUUGAGGUGCAAAUCCGUGUAUCUGAAGCCUUUUUCCUCCAGGAGACAACCAACCAGAGUGAUUGAACCAGUGUUGUUCAUGCAGACCGCCGGAUCACCUGUGGAUCAGAACACCUUUGUUUUGUCACUUCUUGUACCAUGUGGGACAAACCCCUCAGUCUUACCUAAAGUGUCAUUGGACCUGAAGUCGGAAGCAAAAAUGGCUCGACAGAAGCAGUUGAUUUGACCGUUGAUGCCGUCAGCGCAGAACUCGUGAUCAACACAGCGUGUGUCAUUGCAGAAGGCCUGAGGGGCAGCUGGAACACAAACACAUCAGCACCAUUAGAAUCAUGAGACUCUCUGUUGUGAUUUAACUUGAUCAAUGUGUUUUAAUGAGACAGGGGGUUUACGGCAGUUGGCAUCCUUUCUCCAGUCGUCCAACAUGUGGUCCUGUUUCAGGCUGCAGGCGUGGGCGUAGGCCUCCAGAAAUUCACACCUGAGGCCGUCCACAUCUGGAUAAUGACACAGCGUAUAGUUGCAGGCGGAAAUGUACGGCUUGGGGUCAAUAACCGUGUGACAGUCGGUGAAGUCGUAGCCGUUUAGGACUUGACAGCUGAAAUGAAGGUGGAAGGAGGCAAGGUCAAGACAGAAUAGAAGCUGCUUGUGUUGUGGAGUGUUUCUGCUCACUGUUCAGUCACUGUGGUGCAAUUGAUGGAUUCGUCAGCCGGCUCACUGUACUGCAUCUCACAGCUAGGUAGAGAACACACAGCGGGGGGUGGUUACAAAAAAAACACACACAUUUGAUAUUCAUGAUGUUGCGGUCAGCAGGAUGCUGUAGUGACGAAGUCUCACCCCGCAGAGCUGAAAUCAUUCGACUUCAUGACACUCAAAGCCACGCUGGAGUUUACACAAAGUCCGUCGGAAUUUUCAGUUAUGUUUUUUUCAGUUUCUGUUGAGAAGUUUGAAAGGAGAUCACUUUGAACUGAGUCACUAAAAAUAAAAGU
Molecule: long non-coding RNA, 4573 nt
Organism: Nerophis ophidion (straightnose pipefish)
Lineage: Eukaryota; Metazoa; Chordata; Actinopteri; Syngnathiformes; Syngnathidae
Exons: 3
Source: RefSeq, a predicted model, not a curated record